CUGGCUCUUCUCUGGUCUCGGAACCAAGUUUUGUUUCAGAGUUGACUUAUAUAAACAUAGGAAUGAGAUUAUUUAUGCUCAUCGAGCAUGAGGAAAGAAAAGAAAGUACCACUAUCCAUCCAUUCUGGCCAUAAAAAAUGCUCUGUCUCUGAUUCAUGUCACCCCUUUAAUAUCAAGGAAUUGUGUAAUAAUCUUCAACACAAGUCUAUGAUUGAUUUCUUAUACCAAUCAGCCUGUCAACUUCAGCAAGAGACCAUACAAGUGGAAAAGUAAGACAGUAAGUUGGAUUAAUCAAGCAGAGAAAGGAGUUGAAAGCCAUAGCUGGGUCUGCAAACUGAAGCCUUCUCUAAAUUCUCAGAAAUUCUGGAAGAAAAUGUUGGAAAUUCCUCAGGAAAUGGAAAGUUUCUCUUGCUGCCAUGAUGUAAGAAGUGCCUUUCACCUCUCACCAUGAUUCUGAGCCCUCCCCAGCCAUGUGGAACUACUAACCAAUAUAAUUAGCCAAUUAACAAAAAGAAAAGAAAAGAAAAGAAAAGAAAAAGAAGCCACGUGUUUUUAUUUGGAGAUGAGAGCAUCCAGUUUCACAUCACUACUGAACACAUGUUUGCUGCAGUUUACUAGAGGUCCACUUCAGACCCUCUUUGCCUGGGUAUCACCAGUGGAGGCUGCAGAACAGCCAAGAUUGCUGCCUGCUUCUUCCUCUGGAAGCUUCGUCCCAGAGGGACACCAGGCUGAUGCCAGCUGGAGCUCUCCUGUAUGAGGUGUCUGUCAGUCCCUGCUGGGAGGUCUCUCCCAGUCAGGAGGCUUGGGGGAUCAGGGACCCACUUGAGGAGGCAGUCUGUCCCUUAGCAGAGCUUGAGCACUAUGCUGGGAGAAUACUCCUUGUCAGGAUCAGCUGCUCUCUUCAGAGCCAGCAGGCAGGAAAGUUUAAGUCUGCUGAAGCUGUCCCCACAGCCGCCCCUUCCCCCAGGUGCUCUGUCCCAGGGAGAUGGGAGUUUUAUCUAUAAGCCCCUGACUGGCAUUUCUUUCAGAGAUGCCCUGCUGAGUGACGAGGAAUCCAGAGAGGCAGUCCGGCCACAGCCACUUUGCCACGCUGUGUUGAGUUCUGCCCAGUCCAAACUUCCAGGCCCCCUUAGCACUAUCAGGGGAAAACCACCUACUCAAGCCUCAGUAAUGGUGGACGCCCCUCCUCCUACCAAGCUCUAUCAUUCCAGGUUGACUUCAGACUGCUGAGCUGGCAGUGAGAAUUUCAAGCCAGUGGUUCUUAUCUUGCUGGGCACUGUGGGAGUGGGACCUGCUCGCUGAGUGAGACCACUUGGCUCCCUGGCUUCAGCCCCCUUUCCAGGGGAGUGAACGGUUCUGCCCCACUGGGGUUCCAGGAGCCACUGGGGUACAAGAAAAAAAAAAAAAAACUUCUGCAGCUAACUCAGCGUCUGCCCAAAUAACCGCCCAGUUUUGUGCUUGAAACCCAGAACCCUGGUGGUGUAGGCACACUAGGGAAUCUCCUGACCUGUGGAUUGCAAAAACCCUGGGAAAAGCGUAGUACCCAGGCCAGAUAGCACAGUCCCUCACAGCUUCCCUUUGGGUGGAGGAGGGAGGUCCCUGGCUCCUUACACUUUCCGGUGAGGUGACGCCCCACUUUGCUUCUGUUUGCCCUCUGUGGGCUGCACCCACUGCCUAACCAGUCCCAAUGAGAUGAACUGGGUACCUCAGAUAGAAAUGCAGAAAUCACCUGCCUUCUGCAUUGGUCUUGCUGGGAGCUGCAGACUGGAGCCAUCUUGCCAGAUUGAGUAAUUUCUUUCAACUUAGCUUUCUAAUCAAUUGUUAAAACAUGCAUAAUUAUUUAAAUAUUGGCAUAUGUAAAUUUGGAAGUACGGCAGUAUGGAAUAAACUAUUUUAUCCAACAUUUGAGGGAUAAUGCAUGUAAGACCAGGUGUAAUUCUCAUUUAAUUAAUAUCAGGCUCAUCAGUCUAUGCAGUUCCAUUUUCAAUAUUGACAUGUAUAAACAACAGAUGCAAAGCCUAUACACAUUCAAUAAAUUUUUUAUGACAUUAUUAUGCUCAUUAUGGAAGAG
Molecule: long non-coding RNA, 2071 nt
Filed under: Homo sapiens (human)
Lineage: Eukaryota; Metazoa; Chordata; Mammalia; Primates; Hominidae
Description: HSALNT0376186
Source: RNAcentral